GGAUGGCUUAGUGGUUAUAGCUUCCGCCUCUGAUGCGAGAGGUCGCGGGUUCGAAUCCCGGUAGAGUCA
Potamilus streckersoni is the source of this 69-nucleotide non-coding RNA. The record is from the annotation of a GenBank genome assembly. Lineage: Eukaryota; Metazoa; Mollusca; Bivalvia; Unionida; Unionidae.